This 18945-nucleotide long non-coding RNA is filed under the name Phaseolus vulgaris (common bean). RNAcentral's name for it is "long non-coding RNA (PVUL_LNC004106)". The record is from RNAcentral. Lineage: Eukaryota; Viridiplantae; Streptophyta; Magnoliopsida; Fabales; Fabaceae.
UCAAACAGGGGCGACCUGACACACAAAACAAACAACAUAGGAUGGCUCAAUUAAGGAAUGUGGGAAUUCUUGUUGUAAUAAUUGUGGCUGCAGUGUUACUAAAGACCACAGAAGCUGAAGAUUACGAGGUGGGGGGUACCACAGGUUGGACAAGCUUUCCUCCAGGAGGUGCCUCUUUCUAUUCCAGAUGGGCUUCAAAUUUUACCUUCAAAGUAAAUGACACUCUAGGUAAGUAAGUAUCUACGUGUACAGCAAACAACCUUGUUGCUCCUUAAGAAAGUCAAAACCAAAAAAUUCUGUUGUUUAAAUUCAUAAUUCUCUAUUUCAUGUUACUUUGAGAAUAUACUAAGCUAUUCCAAUAUGAUCAUGAAGCAUUGAAGCUAAAUAUUUAAUUUUUCUUAUCACUUUGUAUGAUGAUGUUUGUGAUGGCACCCUUCUUUUGCAGUGUUCAACUUCGAGUCUGGAAGUCACAGUGUGGUGGAAGUUACCAAGGCUAACUAUGAAAACUGUGGAGUCGACGACAAUAUCAAAUCCUUUAAUAGAGGACCAGCUAGAGUCAGCCUUACAGGCCCAGGGGAAUUCUACUAUUCCUGCCCCUUCUCAGGCCACUGCAGCAGUGGCCAAAAGCUAAGCGUUAUAGUCACUGACUCUUCUUCACCAGCACCAAAGAAAACUCCAACUCAAGGUCCUUCCACUUCUCCUCCUGCACCAAAGAGUGCUACAGUUGAAGGUCCUUCACCUUCUCCUUCUGCAUCUGGUUCAGUUCCUAGUUCAAAUCCCACUAAAACAGCCCCAGCACCCCAAACUGAUUCAUCUGCUACAGCCUCUCCACCACAGGGCUCAGCGACCACUCUCUCUUCUACCUUCUCUCUAUUCAUCUUCACCAUAUUCAUCAAUUUCCUGUCUCAAUUUUAAGACACUUAUUGUUAUCUGUGUGGUAUCAGUAGCAAUAUAUUACCUUAAACCCUAAAUAUAUUAUCAAUACUCUCUCUUUCCAAAAUAUUUUCUUUAUAUAUAGAAAUUCAUGUGAAUCUUGUUAACUUAAAGAACGAGACAUGCAUAUAUGAUUCACAUGAACUUCGUGAAAAUAAAGAGAAUGUUUCAGAAAUAGGAUAUUGGAGAAUUCCUACAAUCAUGAUACACUAUUCCGUAGUGUAUUUCAUUAAGCAUAUUAGAUUUCCAAAAUUUUGGCUUGUGAUAAGAUUCUUCAAAAAUAUUGUUUCAUUGAUUUUCCAUGCGGAUUGAAUUGAGAUGAUUGUGAUUGAAUAAACAACUAUUCUAUUGUGGGUUUUACCGAUUCAGUUUCUUUUAUUUAUGUGUAACAUGUUGUUCCACCAAUGUCUUACUUUUUCUGCUAAUGAAAAUUUUAGCUGAGGUUGCGUUUUAACAAUUGGGUUUAAUGUAUAAUAUGGAACGUGUGAACGUGUCAUGUUCAAAAAUUAUACACCAGAGAUGGCGAGAUUUGUCAACUAGUAUAUCUAUACAUAUAUAUAUAUAUAUAUAUAUAUAUAUAUAUAUAUAUAUAUAUAUAUUGAUAUUUUGACUUUGAGCUUUUACAAGUUAUAAACAGAAAUCUGAGGUGUAGAAGAAUCACAUGCAGGAUGCAAAAGUUUUAAUGUAAUUUGUUGCGGUACGAUGUGAGUGGGGUGCCUUCCAAUAAUUUAAAUUUGUACUAUAUCCCUUCCAAAAUCAUCUUAAUUUUAGCAAUAUAAAAAGUUUAAAAAUUUACUAUGUCAUGUUCCAAUAAGGUAUUUUUUAAUAUGAUCUUAAAUUAAUUAUUUUCUCUUUUUUAUUUGAAAUAAUACAUUUAUGAAACAAAUAAGGAUUUUAUGUAAAAUUGUUUUAAAAAGUUAUUGUUUUUUUACGUGUAGAACGGAAAUGCCUUCUUUGAUGUGUUGGUGCGUGAUUCAAAAAGAUUAAACUUCAUGCAUUAAUAAUUAAGACAAAAAGGAAUGACUUAAUUUUUUAUAAUUAAAAGGAAUGAGUUAUUUAUUACCAUUAGAAGUUAUAUUUGGGUUUAAGUUCAUGUAUUUUAUAUGGUGCGAGUAUAAAAAAUUUGAACAGUGUUAAUGAAUUUUAUAUUAUUUGUAUUUUUUUUCAUGUAUUUUAGUGUGUAAUAUAAUUUUUAUUUAGUCUUAAACUUUUAAAUUUUUAUUUAGAUGUUGGUUAGAUUUAAUUUUUUUAAUACUUAAAUGUCUUAAAUAAUUAUAUUUUAUAUAGUUUGUGGAUUUUGUGGAACUUGUCAUAAAUGAAAUUUAAUUUAAAAUAUACGCUUUUUCAAUAUAGCUUUUCUACUUUGAGUUUUGACCCCUCUUCCAUUUUAGAGUUAGAUGUGUUUUUGGUAUGAUUUUUAUUAGAACUAGCGGGAAGACAGGGACUCACGUGUCUGUGUAUCCGCAUUUUUCAUUUUUAUUAUUUAUAUAUUCAUAUAAUUUUAAUAAAUAUUAAAUUAUAUGAAAAGAUAUGUAAAUUAUCUAAAUGCACCAUUGAUAAUAGUUUUAUUAAGAUUUUAUGUUAAUUUUUUUAUAUUUUCAUUUUAUUGUUUUUGAAUAUUAAAUUUUGAUUUAAUUUGGGUGUAAUCUUGAACUUUGUAAGGUUAUCAAGAUUAAAAUUAAGGUUUAAAAAAAAUGGACCAGCAAACAAUGUCAAAACAUAAUGCAAAUGGUUGUAUGUUGGAAGUGGUAGAAUAUGUCACCAUAUCAAUUGAAUCCACAGCUUCCAUGGCAAAAAAGUUGAAAAAAAUAAAAUAAUAAUCUAAAUACAAAUUACCAAACUUCCAACUUAUGUAAUAUCUAAUAGAUCAAAGCAUCAGUAGACAUAAAAACUUUGUUUGCAAAGCUGAGCUUAGGAUUCAUACAAAAAUAUAAAAAAAAAUUAAGAAAGCAAUAAAAACAAAAAUGUACAAAUCCUAUAACAAUGAGACACGUCUCUGCUUCGAACGUUUUGAGAAGUGCGAGAAGGAGGAAGCAAUGGUGGUUGUUGUACAGUGGUGAUUGAAGAGGGACUAAGAUGGGUGAGAGUAGGAGAAGAACAUGGAGCAUGAAGGAAGAGGGUUCAAAAUGUGUCAAAAUUUAUGAGCAUUUUUUUCUUUGGAUGCAACGGUUGAAAACUACUUCUUAUAAAGAAGUGGAAGAAAGUGGUAACCGCUCAACUACUUCUUAUAAGGGAGUGGAUGUAACUAUUGAAAACUACUCUUUCGUAAGAAAGUGAAGGUAAAUGGUUUUCAAAUAUUUUAUUAAAUUUAUUUCUCUCUCAUGCAACAGACACUCUCAUUAUGCAAUUAAUUUUCAAAAUAAAUUAUCUCUUUCAAUUCAUAACCACUCAUUCACCUCUCUUUCAAUUCAUAACCGUUCCUCCACCCCUCUUUUAAUUCAUAAUUGUUCCUCCACAUCUCUUUCAAUUCAAAACCGCUUUUCCACCUCUUUUUCAAUUCAAAACCGCCCCACUAUGUAUACCAAAUAUUGUAGAAAAAAUAAGAAAUGGCACAAUGACCAUAAUACAAUAAUAAAAUUAAAUAUUAAUAUAAGGAUAAAAUGAGAAAAAAAUUAAGAGGAGUUAAGAGGGGAAUAAGAAAUGACAUAAUGACCAUAAUACAAUAAUAAAAUUAAAUAUUAAUAUAAAGAUAAAAUAGAAAAAAAAAUUAAAAACGGUUAAGAGGGGAAUCCCCUCUAUAUAUAGGUAUAGUUUAUCCUAUAUUCAGGAGAGAGAGAAACGGUAAGAAUUCAAUUGGAUAUUAUAGAAUAUAUCCAAUUGUUAAAAUGUUAAAAAAGUUCAAUGUUAUUAGUUUUUGGGUCUUUAUUGGGUUCAUCCCUUUUUCUAUGUAUGCCACAUGUUUAGGUAGUGCUUUUUCUUAUAUAUACACUCCUGUUUUUUACUUUACGCAAUGCGCAAUAGUUUUAUGUUUUUUCAGUUUCUCAUUUUUUCUGAAUCUUUCUUCUUUCUCUCUAUUUUCUAAAAUAGUUUUAAAAACUAAAUUGAUUUAAAUAGAAAACAAAUGAAAAUAGAAUUCUCAUUAAAAAAAUGACUUUUUAUACAUCUCAGAUAAGGAUGGUAAUGCGGGCUCAUCCGUCACGUUUGGCCCAUCCGCAUAAAGAAUGCAUGCUCAUUUUAUUAACUUGUUCCUAUAAGAAAAAUAUUUAAAAAAAAAUUCAUUAAUUAUAAAAAAAAUUAUUUCUCUGAAAAGUUAAAAUUUAUCCAUAUUUUAAUUAAAAUAAAAAUAUGAAUUCAUGUAUGAGGAUUGUUAGAAAGUUUGAUUAAAAAUAAUUAAAGUUUUAUUUUACAUAUAUUUUCUGUAUCUAAAUGAAUCUGACUACCUUAUCAAAGUUUUGCUACAAAAUCUUUGAAUGAAUAUGACUAAAUUUUUAAAGAGUAUCUUAUUAGAAUCUCUUCUUUGUUUUUAUUAACAAAUUUUAAAUAGAAGAUUUUAAUUAAAACUAAAUCUAUUCUCACUCUUAAUAUUAACUUUUUUAGAUUAUUAAAAUAAAACAUUUCAUUUUUAAUAAUUUAAAAUUCAAUUUUUUAAAAUAAAGAUGAUAUUGCAAUAAUGAGUGAGUGAAAUAUUAUUUUUUUUUUAAAAAUAAUAAUUAUUUUAUUUAUUUAUUCGGGACAGCGAGUUAACCCGCCCCACUUCGAUGUUGGUCCGUAUAAAUUGUAAAUUAUGUAGAACGAAUUUAAACGGAUCAAUGAAUUAUAAUAAUGAGUUCGUCCUACAUUACCAUCACUAAUCCUAAAUGUAGUACAACCACAAAAUCAGAAGUUAUAAUUUUUUCAAAAAUCAAUUAUUCCCAAAAAUUAAUAGUUUGUAAGAAACAUAUACAAAUGUUAUAUUAACAUGUUUUGACUUUACGUUGAGUGAAUAGACUCAACCAAAGAGUCCGUAAGGAAUGUACUUCUGAUUUGUGAAAAAAACACACUGCAGCGUUUAACAUAAAUGACUGGAAUAGUAAAAUAAAAAGUUCGGACUGACAUAAGGGAUAUUUAGAGAUAAAUUAAAAUGAUGAAGAAGGCUAUCUUUGGAUUGAGGAGAGAAUUUGUGAGGAGGGGAGAGAGUGAAUUUGUGAGGAUUAGAGAUGAUGUGUGAGGAUAUAUGAGAUUGUUUGGAUUGAGGGAUGAUAGAGAGGAUUUGUGAGGAUGAUUUAUUGUAAGUUUACAAAUUUAUCAUUGUUAUUAAAAAUAUUUAAACAAUUAAUUAUGAUUUUUUGUGUGUAUAUUUGAAUUAAUUAUUUUUUUAAUAUAUAAUAUUCAUAAUUACUUAUAUUUUAUAAUAAAAAAUUAAAAAUAUAAUAGAAAAUAUUUUUGUGUUAUAUUGAAAUAAAAUUAUCAAAUAUAUUAAAAUUUAUGAAAAUAAUAUUUAUUAUUAUAUUCAUAUAAUAACUAUAUAUAUUUUAUUAAUAUUAUAAUUUUUUUAUUUUCAUUAUUUAUAAUUGUAGGUUGUUAUUAAUGUAUAAUUAAAUAUUUUUUAAAUUAUAAAUAAAUUUAUGUAAUAUUUAAUUUUGAUAUUGUAAUAAAAUACAUGUUCAAAGAUAUUUUGAUAAAAUACAAUCAUCUUACAGUUAUCCUCACAAAUUUCUUCAUUUUAUGAAGAAUAAAAAAAAUCACUCACUCUCUCCUCCAUCAACUUCCACACGCUCAAAACCCUUAAAACAAAUAAAAAAAAAAAAAAACAUCCCUCCUUCCUCUUCCAUCAAAACAAACACACUCUUAAGUUUUUUUAAUAAGUGGGUGUUUAUUAAGAAAAAAGUGAAACAGUAUUUUGAUGGAGGAAAAUAGGUACAAUGACAUUCUCCACUCUCGUAGAAAACAACAAAUUGGUAUGUUUGAAAGUCUGUGCAGUGUGCUGUACUUCGAAGAUAGUCAGAGUUGGAAUAUGAUAAAGCUUGAACCAUGAAGUUUGACGAAUUCUCAAUCUCAUUCUAAUGUUGACAAAAAAACCUCACCUUCGUCUCACAUUACUUCUCCGUGGGAAGUGGAAACUCCCAUCUUGGAAUUUUCCAUCCAACUUCUGCCUUUUCACUGCCCUUCCUUGCUAUCACUUUAUAAUAAAUUCAACUUUACAACUUGAACGCAACGAAGAAGCAAAAAUAUAUAAAAAAAAUGCUGAGGAAGAAUAAGAUAUUGAGCCCACUUCCAUGGCUCGUGAAGAAAGAAGGAAGCGGAGACUGGUAAACGGUACAAGUCAAAUUGAUUCGGUGAGAUCUGUAAUUGGUAACGCGGCUAUCCCUCCACAAUUUUUUCCUAGUCUCAAAUCUCGGCACCCUCCAACUCUGCCAAAUUCCCACAUCACACUAAUUUUGUUCACCUAACUAAUUAUCUUCACCUCCACCGCCCAAUACACUUCUAUUUUCUUUUUAGGAAUCCAAACUAGAUUAUAUAAUAUAAUUUCGUUAUAAUAUUAAAAAAUUAUGUACUCGUUAUAUUUAAAAGAAAAGUUAUUAAAGUUUUUAUUUUAUUAAAUAAAUAAAUAAAAAUUAUUUAUUAAAAAGUUUAAUGAUUUAAUUAUUCUUUAUUUUUAAACCGUUUUUUUUUCUCAUUUUACAGGUAAUUUUAUUAUAUAGGUAGUUAUUAAAUGAAAAUAUAUCUUAUACUUAACCUGUUAUCUUUUCGAAAAGAAUUAAUCUAACUGUGAUAUAGAUAAUCUUAUCUUAAAUAAUCUUUUUAAUAGGCUAUACAUAAUCUAGUAUAAUCUUAUUACUAAACUAUUAUCUUAAGUGCUCUUCUUAACAGAAAAUAUACAGUCUUUAAGUAAUCUACUUUUAUCUUAAAAAAUCUUUUAGAAAAGUUGUAGGUGUUAUGCUAUAAAUACCAACGUAGAGCAUUGGCCUUAGACAUUGCAACUUCAUCGAGUAGAAAGAGAAAAGAAGAGCACAAAGAUCUAGUCCUACAAACAAACAGGGGCGACUUACCUCCAAGAACACAUAUCCAUGGCAAGAAGCUUGUUCCUUGUGCUAUUUGCAGUAGCCACCCUUCUUCAUGGCUCCGCUGCACAGACCAGACACGUGGUGGGUGAUUCCACUGGCUGGACCAUCCCUUCCGGCGGUGCUGCAACCUACACCACCUGGGCUUCCGACAAAACCUUCACAGUGGGUGACACUCUUGGUACGUUAAUCUUCCAAAUCUUUCUGUUCAUUGGUUUAUUAUUUAUGUGUCAUUAAAUUACAAAUUUAUGAAUUAUAAUUUUUUUAUUAAUGACUUUUGCAGUGUUUAACUUUACCAACGGCCGACACGAUGUGGCUAAGGUGACGAAAUCAGCUUAUGACGCAUGCAACGCUGCCACCACCCUUUUCACCCUUACCUCCGGUCCAGCGAGCGUGGUGUUGAACCAGUCAGGGGAACAAUAUUACAUUUGCUCCUUCGGAACACACUGUUCCCUCGGUCAGAAAUUGACAAUUAACGUUGUUAACAGAAACUCUGCUACUCCUUCCCCUGCCCCUCAACCCAGUAGGAGUGGUUCUCCACCAACGGCUAGCCCUGUCCCCACACCAACACAAGCACCUACACCAGCACCAAGCACUGUGCCAGCACCUGCUCCAGGCCCAUCCUCUGGACCAGUUACUUUCACUGUUGGAGACACCUCAGGCUGGAUCGUUCCUUCUAAUGGUGCUGCAGCUUACACAUCCUGGGCUUCUGGCAAAACCUUCAAGGUUGGAGACAUACUAGGUAAGUCACCAUCCAUCAUUAAAUUAAACACUUACACAUUUUUAAGAGAUUUAUAGUUGGUCAAAACUUGAAUCAAAUAAUUAACCAGAAAACAUCUAUGGUUUGUGUUUUGAAGUGUUCAACUACCAAUCUAACACACACAACGUUGAGGAAGUGACAAAGGAGAAUUUCGAUUCUUGCAACUCAACCUCUCCUCUUAAAACUUACACCACUCCACCUGCCAGAGUGACUCUCACCAAAUCCGGUGCUCACUAUUUCAUCUGUGGCUUUCAAGGGCACUGUCCUGCAGGUCAAAAGCUUGCCAUCAAUGUCACCGGCAACAGCGCCACCUCGCCUUCCCCCAUCGCCACCCCUCCUUCCGCCACCACCACCCCUCCUUCCCCCACCACCAACCCUUCUACGCCUUCUCCUACAGGCUCUCUCGCCCCUCCCCCAUUGAACUCCGGAGCUGCAUCUCUCGGACUUGUUGGAGUUUCUGCCACCCUUCUUUCACUUGCCGCGGCUUUCUUUUAUUAGAGACAUGAGAUUCUUAUAUUAGGAACAUGAGAUUGUAAUUAGGAGUGUUUGGAACUCGCGAUUAUUAUCGCCCUUCCAUUGUUUUUCAUGAAUUCACUUUGUUUAUUUUUUUUAAGGAUGAGAAUAAAGUGAGCUUUCCCUUAAUCCGCUGCAGUUUUGUUUCUUUUUUUUUCCUUUCUUGUUUUAUCCUCUUGAUGACUAAAAUUGUUAGCUAUAUUUGUAAAUUGGAAUUGGAGAUACAUAUAUAUAUUUGAAUGAUGAACAAAUCGAUGACGCCUUUCGCUGUCAAUCUUUUGUUUGGUGGUGCCAAAAUUGGGUUUGAUUAUAGAAUUAUAGGAAGAAAGUUGAUAACUUACCCCGUCUGAAAAAAAUAAAUUAUUUUGAAAACGAAAGUGCUUGCAAAAGAAAGCGUGACACACGGAAGUCAUAAACGAAAGUGCUAGACCCUUUUGUUGUUGUGUAUGUGAAUGUUGGGGUAGACUCACUUCCACUUAAACUAUUAAAUUAUAUUGAACUUUGAAAUAUGGGUUCCCAGUUUCUCAUGUAUGAUUAUAAAUUAGAUUAGAAAAAACCCCACAAGUUUAGGUAUCCUAUGCAGGACCCUAUUAAAUAAAAGUUAUGCAACAUGCCAACAACAUAAUGUUCUGUAUCUAUAAAUUAAAGUAACCAUAACCAUCUUGUUCUAUCUUAAUGAUUUUACUUUUUCAUUAUUUUUUAUAUUUCUUCGUGUCUUUUAUUUUCAUCUCUUUUACUUCUUAUUUUUGUCUUUAUUAACUUACUAAUUUAAAGUUCCAGCAUCACUUAUCUGAUUUAAAUUUCUUUACUUUUACUUCACAAUUUAAUCGUAUAGUCAAAAUUUUAUCUCCUUAUAUAGAGGUGAGUAAAAUUUUACACUUUAUGCGUAGACUUUAUAGAUUAUUCCCUGAAAACGUUAAUGAUUUGAUAAAACUUAGUGAUUACGCAUCACUAAUGCAAAAUAAUUAUGUACUAAUCAAUUAAAUCAACGUAAUUUUUAAUAAGAUUAUGAUAAAAAUGGACAAAUAUACUAUAAGACUAUUAUUACUUAUUAUACUACAAUAAAAACUUGAACAAAAACUUAUUAAUAAAUAUAAAUUUUGUCACUCUUUAUAUAUUAUUUGUCAUUAUUUUUUAUGUUAUAAAAAUAUUAUUUAUAAUAGUUCUAAAAUUAGAAAAUGACACAAUAAUUAUAUUAGAAGUUAAUAUAUAUAUAUAUCCUAAAUAAUUACUAAAAAGUAUUAUAUAAAUGAAAAAAAAAAUCCUAAUAAUAUAAUUAAUAUAAAUUUAUUAAAUAUUUAUAAAUUAAUGUUUAUUUAUUACUAGUCACAAAGUAUUAAUUAUUAUAAUGCUAAAAUAUUUGUGUCACGUAUUCAAAGGAAAAAAUAUUAAAUUAGUAUUAUUGUAUUUUUUUUAUAUAAAGCUUUCAUUUUAGGCAUAUGUAUGCAACUUGACAUAUCAGGUAGGCUGACACCCCAAAUAACAAUAAUCAUUUGUCAUCACAUGAAAAAAUAUUAUUAAAAGAAAAAAGAAAAUACAAAAAAAUAUGGGGGAUUAGACCAAAACCCAUAUGAUUACAAAAACGACAUAUAGGUAAAUUAUACCUAUUCAUAAAGAACUCUAAGAAUAGACUAAAUGAAAGCCUAUUAUACCAAUGAAAUGAGUCUCUAUGAAUAAAUGUUAAGUGAGGCAUUUUAUCCGCACACGCAUUCUCUUCAUGAAAAAUAUAAGUAACCCUAAACCUUAUUUUCCCACAGUAAUUAAGACAAGUGUUCCACCAAUUACGAAGCAUCCACGAAAUCUUAGUACUAGCAGUAAAUGCAUCACUAACCAAGGCAGAAUCACAUUCAAGCCAUACAUUAGUAAGACUCAUCUUUUGAGCUUUCUCCAUAACAUAUAUAACUACAUAAAACUCAACAACCAAAACAGUUUGAACGUCAAUAAACGCAUAAAAACUACCAAUAAACUCCCCCAUACUAGCAAGACCAGGAUAUCCCUAGCCGCACCAUCAAUGUUAAUUUUAACCCAGCCUAGUGAAGGAAACUCUCAUCUAACAGUAAGAGAACGAAGAACUUUACCACUACGAGUAUUAAUAUCAAAAAACUUAAUCACAUUGAAAUCCAACAUAUCCUUUUUCAUUGAAGCUUUAGACUAAUUUCUCAUUAGACACGUGAGAUCUUAUGACCGAAAUAGUCUGAGAAACAUCAAUUUAUCCUAAAAUCUAACAUAAUUCCUCAUACGUCAUAUCAUCCAAAUAGAAAAAACGUUAUCACAACCAACUUAAUCAAUUUAACCAAAGGACUAUCACUCUUAAUAAAAGAAAGAAGAUCAUCCUUAUUAGAGAAAUGAGAAUUAAUAAAAAUCUGGAGAACUCAACUCCAAAUAUGUAAAGCAGUAGAACAUUUGAAAAAUAAAUGUUUAAUAGAUUCUUCCUGCUUUCCACAAAACAAACACAUAGAACACAUAUGCAAAUCUUUAUUCUGAAUGUGCUGAUCUGUAGCCAAUGAAAAAUUUCCAGAGUAUUAGAGUUUUGGAAGGAGGAAUAUAUGAAGACCAAAUGAUUUUACCCCAACCACAGGGAACUCUUGGAUCUAAGAAAAAAGUCCUAGCCGAUUUUAGAGUGAAAUGACCAUACUCAUCUAGAGUCCAAUUAGGAAUAUCAUGUUCCUCCUGAUAAGUGUCUAAUUUCAGUAAUAUUUCAUAUUAAAAUAUAGGCACUUAUGAGGAUUUAUUGCUAAUUUACAUAUAAAAUAAUCUCUAAUUUAUGAAUUUAUACCUUUUUACAUUUUGUAUGAUCUUUAUUUGAAUAAGAGUAUUUUAUUCCCAAAUUUGGUGUUAAUUGCAGAUUUCUAAGGAAGAUUGGAGAUUUGGAUUAAAGAUGAAUGAUUUGAGCCAAAAAGAUAAAGAUAGAAGGUCCCAGAAUGAAAGAAAAAAAGAAAGAAAGAAAGAUUGGGCCUUUUUAUGUUUUAUCAUUUAGCCCAUUAGCGCGACACAAUAAACAACCUAACCCUAGAAAACUAGGAUAAAUAGAGGGCUAGAGGCUCAACCUUAGGGUGCUAGAUUGAGAGGAAAACACCAUAAAGUGAAUUGUAACCCAAUUGGGAGNNNNNNNNNNNNNNNNNNNNNNNNNNNNNNNNNNNNNNNNNNNNNNNNNNNNNNNNNNNNNNNNNNNNNNNNNNNNNNNNNNNNNNNNNNNNNNNNNNNNNNNNCAGUUUCUUGAUUGAUUAUUGGUAUUGUUGCUUUACUUUUAAUUUUUCGUGACAAAUUGAGAAUCUUAAAUAUGACCGGGAGGUAUUUUUAGGGUUCAGACCUAAACAACAAUACUUAACAUAUUUGAGUGCUAGGAAUAGACUUGAAAUGUUAAUUGCUAUUAAACGUCUGAGCUUCGUUCUAAGUUGUUCUUAUAAUUAUGCGAGGGAUCGAUAGUUAGGGGACAUUCUUAAGGAUUUUAUAUGCGAGGAAUCGAUAUAAAUGAUUUUUAUACGGGCAUCAAUUUCAAUUAAAGAACUUAAUAUUAACAUGCUAAUCAAAAUACAUGAGAGUGAGAGAGAUGAAACUUAAUUCCAAUUUUUCCAAUUGAAGCAAUUAAUUCUUUGUUUGUUUUCUUAUUGAUCAGUGCCAACAUAAUCACUUCAAACUCUUUUUUAUUGUUCUGUUGUUAUAUUUAGCGAAUAUUGUACUCGAUGAUUCACUGUUCUUUGUGGGAUCGAUAUCCGUCCUUAGGGACAAUUAUUACUUCUGACAAAUGCGGUGCACUUGCCGUAAAAAGUCAUCACCUCCCUAAUCAUGAUAUUAGUAAAAAGAUGAGGCAUUUGCGGUAAAGACAAGGGAAUAUUUCAAUCAUAACCAAUCCAAAAUUAGGAGACUAUAUCCGGAAUACUAUCACCAUCAGAUAACCCUGCAAUGUUUGAUAAAGAAGUAGUAGAACACCAUUUAUCAUUCCAAAAAUUAAUAAGAGUACCCGUGCCAACAAUCCAGUAAGUAUGAUCAAGAAUGGUUUCAUAAAACUAUUUAAUUUCAUACCAAAUAGAUGAGGAUCUAUAAACCACUAUAAGUUAUAUUUUGAUUUAAGAACUUUGGCUUUCAGGAGAAGAGACCAAGACUUAUUACUAUAAGCAAAAUUCCAAGCAAACUUAAGAAGAUACACAUUAUUUUCAUGAUGGAGAUUAAUAAUCUUCAAACCUUCAUUCUUAAGAGGAGAACAAAUCUUAGCCCAAUUAACUAUUUUUAUGCCUUUUUUUUUUUCGGUAUAUCACUCAUCCAAGUAAAAUUUCUACACUACUGUUUGACUUGCUUAAGAAUUGAAACAUGCCAUUUAUACAUAUUAAAACUAUACGUUAGAAAUCCAGUAAUGACCGUAUUAACCAACUGAAUCUGACCCAUCAUGCUAAAAGAUCUUCCUUUCCAAGAUGCUAACUUCAAUUUGAUUUUAUCAGCCAAAGGCUGUAGAAAAUUGACACUUUGUAAGCCACAUUACCUCCCCUAACCUUUUUAGAAAGCAUGUUAAUAGUUUCAGAAGAAACACUAAUACAAUCUUGAAAAUUGAAAGCCUAUCCGUCAAUAUUUUGUAAAUAAUCUUAAAUUUUAAAUUACCGACAGCAAUUGGCUUGUAAUCUUUAAUGGAAUCAGCACCCUAAAUCUUAGUAAUGAGAGGGGCCACAUUGCUAUCAUUCUAAGAAGAACCCAAUUUUGCUUAAAAAACUGCUGAACAGCUUUGCAAACAUCCGACCCAAUAAUGUCCCAACAAGAAUGAAAGAAAACACCCCCAAAAUCGUUUGGACCAGGAGCACUAUUACCAUUAAGAUUAAAAAAUGCAUUUUUAAUCUUCAAAUAAUUCGGGCAUUUAAUCAACAUAGUAUUCUCCUCAGAGAAAACCAUUUCAGAGAUAUAAGUUCCAAUAAACUCUUCUAUACUACAUGUAGCCUGAUCAUUAGAACUAGACCCAGCAUAAAUAUUUUUAUAAAAAUCCAAGAUAUGAUUCGCAAUGAGUUUAGGAUACUCAAUAACCUCAUUCUCAAUCCUUAGUUUGUGAAUCUCACUAGAAUUAUUUCGCCUCUUUACCACAACAUGAAAAAAAAACAAUAUUUUUAUCCUCAUCUUUAAACUAAAGCAUCUUGGCCCUCUCUUUCCAAAACAAGUAUUGACAAUGAAGAACAUGAUCAAACUCCUCCUUAACAAUCCUUUCUUGACAAAUAAGCCCAUCAAUAUCAAUAUUAUUGUAUAUUUAAAUUUAUUAUCUUUAUUUCUAAGGUAAUAUUAUUUUCAUUUUGUCACAUCACAAUUAAUAUGGAUAAAUAUAAAAGUUUUCACUAUUUUUUAAUUUGUCAAUUUUUUUCUAUUAAUACAUGUCACAAAUAAUUACAUAUUAACAUAAAAUAUCAUAUGAUAAAACUAUUUUUCUUUUGAUAAGAAUAUUAAUAAAAACAUUAUUGAAUGUUUAUAAAUUUAUAAUGAUCAUAUAAUAUUAUUAUUAUAUCAUUAGUAAUUAUUUAUAAAAAGUAAGAAAUUUAUUUUACUUUUUAGAUAAAAAAUUAUUAAUGAGAUAACUAAAUUAUCUAUCUAUUCAUACAUUUGUACUUGUUAUUAUGAUAUUAAUAAAUAACUUAUUAACUUCUUAAAAAUAAUAAACAUAAAUAAUGACAAAAUUAGUUUUACAAAAUGAUAUAAAACAAUACUUAAUAAUUUAUUAUUUUUAUCAAUAACAUUGUUUUCUUUAUCCUCUUUUGAAUCAAUACUUUGAUCAUCAUUUUCUUCCUUGUCGUCAUCAUCAAUAACUUCUAUAGGCAUUAUUGGAUUUUCAUUAGUUGUGAAUUAAGUUAAGUCAUUUAUAUCCAAUGAAAAUUCAUGCUCAUUAUCUGAAGCAUUAGAUACAAAUGAGAUUGAGUCAAUGUAUUUGUUUUCUUGACACACUUCAUUUGAACAUUAAUCUGACAUAUAUUAUACCAAUCUCGUGGCUUUAUUUUCACUACAAUAAGUCAUUAGGGUCUUUGGUGUCCUUAACAUAAUACACUUGUUGAGCUUGAUUAGCUAAGACACAUGACUCAUUAGUCCUCAAUUUAUGCUUAUUAUUAUUAAAAUAAAUCCAUAUUUUUCUUCCUUGUACCCUUCUAAUUCCCUUGGAGUACACAUCACACCAAUCACAUUUAAAUAAAAUAAUAUUAUUUUCUGUAGAAUAAUCUAAUUUAACGAUAUCAGUCAAGACACCAAAGUAAACUAAAUUACUCGUAUUCUCAUCACCUUUUGUUACGAAGUGGACUUUAAGCCUAACUCAACCCCAUAAAACCGGCUCAUAGGAUUGAGGUUUGCACCCACUUAUAUACAAUGAAAGGCUCUAAUCUCUAGUCGAUGUGGGAUCUCCAACACCUUUAACUAAAAUUUCACUAUUUUGUGAUUUCAAAUAUAUAUAUAUAUACAUAUAUAUAUACAUACAUAUAUCAUUUACAUUAAACUUCCAACCAUUUAUUAAAAUUAUAUAUCUUGAAAAACAUUUGAAUCUAGUCCACAAGCUAAGUGAAUCAUGAAUCAUUUAUUCUUAUGUCACUUUCUUUUUUCAAAAGGGCAAACUAUUGAAAAAAAAAAGGUGAAUAUGCUUAAUCUAUAUAAUAAUAAUCAAAGAAAUUAAAUUAAUUCUUACAUACUUUUUUAACCAUUGAAAUUUUUUAUUAAUGUCUUUGUAACAUUUUACGAAAUUUCUUUAUCCAAUUCUUGUUUGUGUUGUCUAAUAAUAAAAUACAUUAUUAUAACGAAACAUAUAGUUACAAUAAUAUAAAUUUUUAAUUUAAUAAAAUCACUUACUCAAUAAAAGGUCUUCAUCACAAUUUUGGAGAACAAAAUUUCUUGUUUGCUCUUAUUUUACUACAUUUAACUCAGCGUAUUUUCUAAUUGCAAUAGUUUUUCAAGUUGUAGAAAUUUUUUAGAUUUGAUUUAUUUAAGUGAUGUAGGUAAUCUUCAUAAUUUCUUCCAUGUUUAUUUAAUAUUGUCUCAAUUUCAUCAAAAUAUCUUUAAGAAAAGUGCACACAUUCUUGUACAAUACAUCCUAUUCGAUAUGAUUUGAUCUUAUGGAAGUACAUUUCAAUUGGAUAUGUCAAACAAUGUUGUACUUGGUCUACAAUGUUUGUCUCAUGUACUAAGUGAAUGGGUAAAUGAACAAUUAUGUCAAAAAAAAAAAGGAAAGAAUGAAUAUUUUCUUUAACUUUUUUUUAGCAAUUGUAAAGUGUCUAAAGUCAAUGUUUUAGACCACAACUCUCUAACCGAACUUAGUUCAAUUAGGGUCUCACAAACUUUCUUUCAAAAUACAUCAUGAAUUGAAAUGGAGGAAAGUGAUAUAAAUAUACAUGACUAUCAUAACAUUUCAUCCUAUAUAUUUUUCCUUCUUAGAUGUUUAAAUCAACUAGAAAAUGACAAAAUAUUUGUUUUUUCUAAGAUAUUAUUGUAUAACAUGCAUAUGAAAAUAUAUAUUUUUCUUAUUGAGUCAUGGUUGUAUGAAACUUUGAACAUAUGAAUAAUAUUAAAUCAGAAGUUUAUAUUAUCUUGUCUUUUUUAAAGAUCCAUCAAUAUUCAUAUUAUGUUGUCAUAUUUUUUUUCAGUAGAUUGUGACAUAAUUUACCUCUCUAGUAAGGCAAUUCAAAAUAUUGUCUUUCUUCCAAUUCUUAAAUAAUUUAAUAUUUUUUUCUCACUUUCUUUUUCGGGUAAACUUAUCAAACGUCACCUGGAUAUAUUUACCAUUAAUACAAGUUUAAAUAUAUAGAUAUUAAUUAAAACAAAUAUGUAAAAAAACAGUAAAAGUUAAUGUAUGAAGAAAGAUAAAAAUAUGGUUACAAUUAAAUGAAAAAAAUACUAAUUGUUAUUUUUUUAAAAUUUACUUAGUUAAUACGUUUUAAAUUAGACAUUAAUUUAAUUUUUAUAUUGAAAAUAUGUCAUUUAUUAAAAUCAUCUCAUAAAGAUAAUAUUUAGAUAUACAAAUUUAUUCAAGAUAACAUAAAAUAAAAAUAAUGUUGUUUUAUCUUUUGCCUGUAUUAGUUUAAAUUCACAUUUAAAAAAAAUAUUAUCUACUACUAAUGUAUAAAUUUUAAAAUGAAUCUAAACAAAUAAGAUAAAAAUAAUAAUAUUCAUGUUCAAAACUUUCACUAUUGCUCAAAGGAUAAGAUUAAUUACCGUGAAUUAAUUUAGUUUAUUUCAAUAUAUUAUAUUAUUUAAUGUUGGAACUUAAAUUUAAAAUAAUUAUUCAAAAUAAAAUUAUUAAUAGUUUAUAAAAUAGAUGCAUCUACUUAAAAUGAUUCUUUUAUUGACGCAUCAUAUGUUUCUACGUCGUUAUUCUAUAAUUCAUUUAAUUUAUUAUGUACAUAAUUAGUAGCUCAUAUAUUUUAUUUCACAUGAUAAAACUACAUCUCUGUCUAUUUUAUCAGCUUGAGAUCACUGUACUAAUAUCAAGUUGUACAAUAAUAAUUAUAAAAAUUAUAUAUUUUUUAGUUUUGUUUAAGUACAGAGUACAAAUAACAAAGACUAUGUGUUGUAAAACUUAUAAAAUAAUAAAGCUAGUAGUUUUAUUUGGCAAGCCUAUAAGUAAUUGUACAAUACCAUACUUAUUGUUUAUGUAAAUAAAUAAACUGUCUCUAAGACUGCUAGCAAAGUAUAGUUUUAUUGGCAGGCUAUACAUUUUUUAGCCCUUAUAUAUAUUCUAUGAGUAUAUAAAUAUACAAUUCUUUUUCGGCUUAACCGUAUUUAUUAUCCGAACUAUAUAAAGUCUUUCACUUUUUAUUUAAAUGAAAACUUUAAUAAAACUAUUUUUAACAUUAUAUUGAAUAAAUUAGUUAAGUAAAACCCAACCUUGUAUAAAAUAAGUAACAUGUAUUGGUUUUUCAACCAAAUGGUGUGAUAUUAUUCUAUUAUUACGCAAAUGAAUAAAUUGUAAAUACAUUCACAUUUAAUAAAGUGUGAUUAGAAACAUGAUUUUGAAAUGAAGAAAUUUUACUUUUAAACAUACACUACAAAAAAAUAAAUAAAUAAAAAUCAAUUUUAUAGAUAAAAAAAUUAGUUAUUAUAUUGAUUAUAUUAUAUUAUAUUAUAUAAAUUAAAAAAAUUAUUAAAAAUAAUUUUAUUAUUGAUAAAUAUUUUUAAAUUGGAUUCAAAUUAUUUAUUAAGAUUUUUUAAACCAAAUUUAGAAUAUAAAUAAUUAGUAGUUAAAACCUCGGUAGUUAAUUAAAUAUCAAUUUAUAAUUUAUUUAUUAAUAAUAGAAAUUAAUUUAAAAAAUAAUAAUUUUUUUAAUCUCUAAAAUAAUAUCUAAUUUAGUCAAUAUAAUAAUUAAUUAUUAUUUUUUUCUAAAAUUGAAUUCUAUUUAAUCAUCAUGAUUUUGAAAUGAAGAAAUUUUACUUCUAAACAUAAUUUUGGAUCAAAUGAAAUUUUUAUACAACCACUUUUUUAAAAAUUAUAUAUUUUUGUAAAUUGAUUUUUUUUUUUAAAUGGAGAAGUGAUUUACAUUGAAAUCAUGUAAGCAUGAACUCAAUUGAAUUUGAAUUUUCUUUUAAACUUUGUUCCAUUUUUUUAAUUAACUGAUUAAUUUUUAUAUAAAAAUGGUUAUUUCAAAAAUUAAAAUGUAUAUAUGUUUUUUAAUUUAAAAUUAAUGUUUGUAUUAAUUUUAAUCUACAAAAUUUUUAAAAAAAUAGUUCAUUACAAAAACCAAACAAAGUUAAAAUUCAAUAUACGAUUUCAUUGUAAUGCAUUUCUCUGUUACGAAAAGAAUUUGAUUUAAAUAAAUAUAUAAUACCUAAAAAUGUACUUGUAUAUAAAAAAAUUUAAAAGUUAUAUUACAAAAAAUUUAGUUAAUUUAAAAUUUUAAAAACUUAAUUUCAAACUCAAUUUAUUUAAAUACGUAAUUUUUUAAAAAUUUAUUAAUGAAAUAGCAUUAUACCAAUUUGAUAUAAUUAAUUAAAAAAAUAAUAUAUUUUAAAAUAAGUAAAUAUAUAUGAUUUUUUAUAAUAAUAUUAACAAAUUAUAUAGUCGUUAUUUUUUAAAGAAAAGUUAUUUAAUUUUUUAUUUUAUUAAAUAAAGAAGUUAUUUUUUGUUUAUUCAACAGUAAAAUUGUUUAAUUGUUUAACUAUUCUAUAUUUUUAAACCUUUUUUGUCAUUUUGCAGGUAAUUUGAUCAUACGGGUAGUUAGUUAUUAAACGAAAUAUAUGUUAUAUAGAUACAGAUAAUAUCUUAUCUUAAAUAAUCUUUUUAAUAGACUAUAGAUAAUCUUGUAUAAUCUUAUUACUAAAAUAUUAUCUUAAAUAAUCUUUUUAACAGAAUAUAUAUUAUCUUAACUAAUCUAGUUUUAUCUUAAAAAAUCUUUUAGAAAAAAUGCAGUUGUUAUUUCCAAUAACAACUUAGUUCCCCUUGAGCUAUAAAUACCAACGAAGAGCAUUGGCAUUGGACAUCGCAAGUUCAUUGAGUAGAACGAAAAGGAGAAAAAAGAGAAAAGAGGAGCAAGAGAUAUAGAACCAGGGGCAACUUUCCAAGAACACAUAUCCAUGGCAAGAAGCUUCUUCCUUGUGCUAUUUGCAGUAGCCACCCUGCUUCAUGGCUCCGCUGCACAGACCAGACACAUGGUGGGUGAUUCCACUGGCUGGACCAUCCCUUCCGACGGUGCUGCAACCUACACCACCUGGGCUUCCGACAAAACCUUCACAUUGGGUGACACUCUUGGUACGUUAAUCUUCCAAAUCUUUCUAUUCAUUGGUUUAUUAUUUAUGUGUUAUUCAAAUUACAAAUUUAUGCAU